Molecule: non-coding RNA, 188 nt
Organism: Bacillus sp. FJAT-22058
Lineage: Bacteria; Bacillati; Bacillota; Bacilli; Caryophanales; Bacillaceae
Source: Rfam
UACAAGCUGCGUUGUUCGUAAUGAUAAUUAAGUUUUAACCUUUAAGCUGUAAUAGGGAGUUUUAUAUUGAAACAGGAAUGUUAUGCCUCGUCACUGACUUGGACAACAGGAUUGCUUCUGCAAACACCCACUUUGAGGAGUGGUGGUUUAAAACUUUCUUACUUGAAUACGGCAAUUGCGGCUUACUA